GGUGAGAUGGCCGAGUGGUUAUGGCGGUGGUCUCAAGAGAAAUCUUACGCUAUCUAAUAAAUAGCGCAGUAUGCCACUGGAGCAAUCCUCAGGGGUUCGAAUCCCCUUCUCAUCA
The sequence is a transfer RNA, 115 nucleotides long. It matches the Rfam family "tRNA". From Rfam's summary of the family: Transfer RNA (tRNA) molecules are approximately 80 nucleotides in length. The record is from Rfam.